Molecule: non-coding RNA, 5201 nt
Organism: Podarcis lilfordi (Lilford's wall lizard)
Lineage: Eukaryota; Metazoa; Chordata; Lepidosauria; Squamata; Lacertidae
Source: the annotation of a GenBank genome assembly
GUAAGGGAAGCUUUGUAGCAGGCUCUUACUAUAACAUGGUAUGCGCAGUGGACUUCUCAUGGACAGUGCUCUUGGAGAAAGGGCAUAGCUCAAUGAAAGAGUGCAUGCUUUGCAUUCCCCGCCCCACCCCAACUCAGUCUCUGGUAUCUACAAGCAAGUCAUUGGGGAGACUGCUGUCUGCAAUACUGGUAAGCCACUGCAAGUCAGUUUCUGCAAUACUUAGAUGUGCUAGGAUGGGCAGCUUCUUUCCAUCAUGUGAUGGCAUCCUCUUGCUCUGAAGUCAUGUCAUUCGGAUUAAAAGGGGGAAUUGUAGAAAAUGGAUUUUAGCCUACUUUUUUUUUAUUGACUGCCUGAGAUUGUUGCACAGCAUUAUAUCAUUUCCUCCUUCGCAGGUGACUUGGGCAAAGGCUUCUGGCAACAGCCUAAGCAGCUCUUAUAAAUUGGAAAUCCAAUUCUAGCUUUGGUUGCAUUAUGAAGACAAGUUAUUAUAUACUUGAGUGCUUUCUUGCUGGCUUUAUUACUUUUUACAUAGUAAAAAGUAAUCAGAUCUAAUUUAAGUCAAUAAACACAGAAGAGUGAAAAGUAUGAAAAAGGCAAUGAUCCAGAGCACAAAGGUUUGGAUAAUUUAUUACAGAAAUAUCAUGCAGAUCAUAUUCUUGUUUUGCUUGUCUAUCCACAAAAGGUAAUAUAAUGGAGUGCAAUCAAAUGGAAAAUUUAAAUUGGAUUUGAUUUAUGUGAAACUAUGAGCUGAUUUUGAAAACUAUCAAUUAAUCUGAAGAGGUGGAAAGGAAAUGUAGUAAGGACAAUUAACUCGAAGCCCUGAGCUGAAUUUUACAAGCACAUCCAGAGCCAAUACUGUGACUUUUCUCUUUUCUUACAUUUUCACAAAAAGCCUAAUGUGAUUUAUUUAGGGCCAUCCCAGCUUAUUUUCUGUAACUUACAUCUUCUGCCAUACUUGCACAAUAAAGUUCAGAAUGGCUGAGUAUUAUCUAUUAUGCUUAUUGUUGCACUGGAACUUCUUUUGUGUGGUGGAAACUGGUUUUGUGAUUUUAAAUCUCUGCCCCAAACCUGGAUCUAGGCACCCAGGGAAUUUCCCUUUUAUUGUUCAACCAAUUUACCAACGCUCCCCCCCCCCAAGCAGCCCCUGCAAAAAAACAACAACAACCCAAUAACGAUUUAGUCACAAUGUUUUAUGUUGGAUCAACUACGUCACUGUAAGCGGAAUGGCUUCCUGUCAUACAACAAACUCACCUCCUUGCCACCUUCACCUCCCAAUCUACUUGGGGUGUGUGUACCCCAGCCCUCUGGAGCAGAUUUUUGGAGGGGGGGGCAGGAGACACAAGGUUGGGAGGAGAGGGAGAGGAAGUUCCAUUGUGUGAGUGGAAGUUGUUCUGCUCAUGCAAUGAAUGGACAGGAAUCAACCCAGAUUCAAUAUUACUUGUUGGGUAUAUACAAAGGGGAUCUUUAAGGAAUGCCGAGGAUUCUAAAUAACAGUGGAUGUGCUAUUUGACUUGCCUUUUCCUAGUGAUAAAAUGCUGUAGUUUGAACACAUUUGUUUUGGGCUGGGGAGCAGACAUAUAUGAGAAAGGAAUCAUAGAAUCAUAGAGUUGGAAGAGACCACAAGGGCCAUCGAGUCCAACCCCCUGCCAAGCAGGAAACACCAUCAGAGCACUCCUGACAUAUGGUUGUCAAGCCUCUGCUUAAAGACCUCCAAAGAAGGAGACUCCACCACACUCCUUGGCAGCAAAUUCCACUGUCGAACAGCUCUUACUGUCAGGAAGUUCUUCCGAAUGUUUAGGAGCACAGAUUCCAUGCAACAAAUGAGUAGCAGCUGCACAUUUACUGAACACAUUAAAAGGAUGGUGCAGAGAGUAGAAGCUCUUACCUAUAAAUUUAUGCUGCCACAGUUUUGUCCUUUCUGGUUUGUUGGUUUGUUUUAAGCGUAGAAUUCUGUCUCCCCCUUGGUUAUCAUAUUUCAGUGAAAAUAGUAAUACAGAGGUUAAAAGGUUUCUUUUCUAAUGUAGUUAUAAAUACAGUAUCUGCUGCUUCUUUUUAAAGUGCAGAGAGGCCAAUAAACAGGUUCUCAAGCCAUGAGGCCAAGGUUCCCCAGGGAAGAUGUGACCUCCCCUUAAAUUAAGAGCAAGGAAAAAAAUUAAGAAGGGAGCAAUGAGUUUUAGUUCCUGCGGAACUAUUUUCAGCACAAAUAGGAUAAAGUGUGCCUUACAUGAUUGCAGCAACCUGCAUGCUAUUCACCCUUAUAAGGACCAGAUCCAUGAGGAGAGAAAGCAAUUUCAAUGUACUUUGGUCAACCUUAUUGAAAUUGCGUAUGAAUGAUGACCUUCCUUGGCAAAGUGUUUUCUACUGAGUCAUUAAUAAUAUGCUGACAUUAGAGAUAGGUAGUAGCUGCAGAAGUACUGAGAGGGCUUAACAUAUGAAUUAGUUUAGCAUGUUCUUUUGAAAUAUAACUUCCCAGGCAGUUUAGUGGACUAAAAGAAACCCCCAAAAACCCAAGACUGCCACUUUAGAAGGAAGUUUUCUGCUGGUGCUUAGAAGCUAACUCUUUUUGAGCUAGUGCUCAAAAGUGUGUGUGUGUGUGUGUGUGUGUGUGUGUGUGUGUAAACUGGGGCAGCACUGUCUGUCUGUUACAGCAAAAACAGCAAAAUAUAAACUAGCAUCUUAAAAAGUAACAAAUGCGUAGUGACAUAAUCUAGAGGUAGUCUAUAUAGUGCUCUCUAGAUUCUGUUGCAUGAUGCUGUUAAGUUUUAAAAGUAGCCUUUAAUACUUUUACCAGCUGUCAAUUUGUAGUUUUUAAUAGCUUGCUUUAUUUUAUUUUAAAUAUGUGUCUCUGUGUAUAUAUAUUUCAAAAUAGCUUAUAAAUGUAGCUCAGUGAUAUUUUUCUUACCCUGUUGUACCCAAAUUGGUUCUUUCUGAGACUGAAAUGCAGGUUCCAAAAUAUACUACUGGAUUGUUGCCUGCUGGCUGAUGUGGUGUAUUUUGUGCAACAGCUUGGUAAUAGGAUUUCCCCCAUUGUAUAUUACUAAACGUCCUCCCUGGAUAAUUGGUAGCAAAUGAUUUAGAGCUUUUUGUGAUGGCCAAUAUUAAAGCCAUAUUGGCAGCAAUGCUUAAAUUACAGGCAAUCAGAGGUGUCCUGGCUGCCUUAUAUUUUUGUGUGUGUUAUGAUCUCUUAGUUAAUGUUUUAGGUGGCUUGAAGGGGGACCAGGGUUUAGCUAGAAUUAGUGGGGCUUUUGGAUUUCACUAACCCCAUAGUUUAUAUACUGAUUGGGAGGCAAACAGUGACACUCUUUGAUUUCUUCCAAGGAGAGUUCUCAAAGGACUUGGGCUACAGGUAGCUGUGCAUAGUAAUGUGUGCUUGACUUCUGCGUCUUAGCAGAGUGAAAGGGAUGGAGUCAGUUUCUGUUACUGGCACCCACUAGCCCUGAUCUCAUAUUCUGCCCAUACACCGAGUGUGUAGAGACCAGGAUCAUGGUUUGCUUUUUCCAAACAAACUAACAGCAGUAACCAAGGUUUGUUCUUUGCUUAUUGCUCAUGGUCUGUUUUGAAGGAAACAAAUCACAAGCCUAGAUCAAUACAACAUGACAAGCUAGAAUUUAACUUGCAUUGACAAUGGUGCUGUAGCAGUCGAAGUGGAAGAGGCGAUUGCGCUGGGAACUUGUGGUGAGCACAUUGGGCCAAUAAGGUGCAGAUGCACUUCUGCCAUGUUUGCACUGUAGAAUUCCUUCUUUGCAUGCAUAGGAAGGGUACGUUCCAUUCAGAUCAUUCCAUUCAUACCAUGAAGAUUCUUCUCUCUGGGGAUUUUAACUUAUCUUCAGAUAUAAUUGUCAUUGUCAAUAUAUUUGCAAACCACAUUUUCCACAAGUAAAUCUGUGCUCAGAUCACCUCACAGAAAAAUAAAAGUCCAAAUACAGAAACAACACAUGAUAAGACAUAUCAUCUGGCUGGGUUUCCCCGCCCACUCUGGGUGGCUCCCAACAGAAUAUUAAAAACACGAUAAAACAUCAAAAACUUCCCUAAACAGGGCUGCCUUCAGAUGUCUUCUAAAAGUCAGAUGGUUGUUUAUUUCCUUGACAUCUGAUGGGAGGGCGUUCCACAGGGCGGGCACCACCACUGAGAAGGCCCUCUGCCUUUAACAUAACAGUAAAAAAUAAUAGCCAACAAUAAGCAUUAUAUUUAACAUAUAAGUAAUCAUACAGCUUAUUAAUAGGUGAAUAUCAAUAUGGAUGCAUGGAUAUAUCUUGGAAGAACAUUUUCUGGGUUUAUAUGUGGAUUUUUGAAGGCAAUGUCUUACAGUAGCAGGUUUAUGUUUACAGCAAUCUUCCAGUCUGACAUGAGGAUUAUGUGAUAUUUUUUGGGUCAGCCUUCGAGCUCCUAUUGGCAAACCUGAAUGGCAGAGCUCCCCAUUCAGUUUGGUCCUGUAGGUGGAAUCCUAUUUAUUUCUGCAGCUCUUUCACUGGCAAUGAAUGAUCAAAUACUUACCUACAUUGCACAAGGCAUUGGUUUCCUUGGUGACAACUGUUGUCAGCUGCAUCAAGAGACUCACUAAGCAGAGAGUGGUUUUCUUUGCUUUUGGCAUUUAAAUUGUCAGAAUCUGUAAGUGGGGAUUUACCACUGAACUCUGACUUCUACUGGAAGUUCUCAUUAUCUGUGACCACUUAUCCCUGGUGCUAUCUUUUCUUCGAUGGAUCAUUCUGUUGACUUUGCUAGCUCUUUUGCAAAGAGGACCCAGGGAUUCUGAGUUCUUCCACUGCUAGACGAGUUGGGCCAUUGGCCUGAUCAAGCAGACUCCUCUUAUGUUCUUACAUUCUUACGUAUCAAAAUGCAUCCUAGACCACUCUCAUACGACAGAAACAGAAGUGCAAAUAAAAACACACUCUGAGAAAUCGUUUCGGCAUCUCCAGUCCACAUAAAUGAUCUUCAGAUAUCUGUUUACACACACUUCUGUAUGUGUCACAAAUACUUCAUGUGUUGAUUUCUAUGAAGCCCCAUGAAUCUGAAGCACUCUUGUGAACAUCAGGUGGUCCAUAGCUGACAGUGCAACAACAACUUCACAAAUUGUACUACUUAUAUAUGUGCGUGUACAUUGAAAAGCCAUGGGUGAAGGCACUGGCAUUGUUUUGGUAUGUAGCAUAUAAACAGAAAUAAUUGCAAUAAAAUAAAUGUGAAUUAUGCUGAACAUCUAAUAC